UUCUCUUUUUGUACUCUAGUUAGAAGCUUCAAUCUUCAAAGCACUACAGUAGCUCUUGGCAAUCAGCUUUCCCUACACGCAUUCCUCUCCUCUUUGUCAUUUGGUACUACAGUAGCGCCUACGCGAAGAAGUAUAUGAAGUGGAUAGGUUUUGCCUUAUACCUGUUGUCUAUUGUUAAUGUCUUGCAGUUCGAAGGUGUCUCUUUGCAUAUUCGUCUUCAACCAAAAGGGGAAGAAAAUCUUCCGUGAUAAUUGCGAGCUCAGGGUGAUCUUUUGGGUUUGCUUCCCUUCAAUGCCAAUAGUUGUGCACAUGUCUCCUCAUCUGGAAGCUUAUCUGUUGGUGAUUGUUGGAUUCAAUCUUUGAGAUAAGCCUAACGCUCAUUUGCACCUACAUGUGAUACACAGAAUAUGCUACCCAGGGGUUCAAAUUGAAUGCUUCUUCAGUGAACUAAAUGAGACAGGUGUGAGAAUGAACCAUCUUGUCUAUAAAUACUGACCUUUUAGUCGUUUGUUCUGCAACUGACUACCACUUAUCUCCUCCCUUCUGUUUGUUUUGUCUUCUUGUCAUCACUUUCGAGAGGAUGAAUGGUGUCAAAAGUGUGUUUGUCUCAGAUUAAUUCAAACAAAAAUUCCUCGUGCAUCACUAUUCGUGUUUUGCGCGUGAUCUGGAGGGCAUGCGGUGACAAUGACGAUGCUGACUUCGAGUACCCAAAAAACCUUAUAUCUAUGGACUACGUUUGAUGGAUAAUCAAGUAUGGUGUUUUAACUACACAUUUAUUGUGUUGCAACGAUGAAGUAAUAAUGUGUUUCCUUUGUUGUUGAUGUGGGUCAGUGCAAGGAACAAAAAUGCUGACAACAGCUAUUGGGGAGACAUUGAUUGAUCGCUUCUUUGGGUUGUUCGAUCAAGGUGCUUCCUAUUAUAUUGCCUUCGUUGAUGUGCGCGAAUGGCCAAACGAGUUCCACGACAUGUACGAGAUUCAUCUCUGCUACUACACUCAGGUUGAUCGAGCCCAUGUCCUACUUCCUUUUUAUGAGUUUCGCCUGAGAUCAGUUAUGGAAAUCGAGAAUUACAUUGGUCUGGGCUCUCUGUGUGUUGGUGAGUUGUGGUUUCAGUGCAUCCCAUUAUUAUGUAAUUUUAAGUGGUUUUUGUUGUCACCCACAUGUGAAAUUGUUUAUGCCUAGAUGUAUUUGGUGUCAUGAAGGACAUUUGACAUAUGGUUCCAAUAAAGAUAGGGGGCAUGUACAGUGUCUAGUGGUGUUUUUAUUCUCGAGGAUUUUGAGUAACGACCUUGUCUUCUUCACUUCAUCACUUCAUCUUUUAUAUUUGUAGUUGUUUUCAGUUCUUUGGAAAACUUUUAGAACUUAAUAAUGAAGAGCUCUGUUGUCUA
Prosopis cineraria is the source of this 1387-nucleotide long non-coding RNA. RefSeq lists it as uncharacterized. The record is from RefSeq and is a predicted model, not a curated record. NCBI's taxonomy places the organism in Eukaryota, Viridiplantae, Streptophyta, Magnoliopsida, Fabales, Fabaceae. The transcript has 2 exons.